Molecule: non-coding RNA, 840 nt
Organism: Cinara cedri
Lineage: Eukaryota; Metazoa; Arthropoda; Insecta; Hemiptera; Aphididae
Source: the annotation of a GenBank genome assembly
AUAAUACUUUUGGCGGAAAGAUUAAAACGAUUACCAAACGAUUAAAACGCCUAGUGUGUAACUGGCUUUACGUAGCCGACCAUCAAUCGACCGAUUUUGUUCGAGAUGAAAAUCUGCAACCUUCGCAAUUCGCCGCAGCAGUUAUCACGGGCGAUUGUCGAAUUAUUUGAAUACAAAUAAAAUUAUUAAAUCAAAUGCCUUAUCUCGACGUCUUCGUUUCUUUAUCGCGACAUUUUUUUCUUUCCAGUUAUUUAUCAAUAAUUUAAAUAUUACAUGACGCAAUUUGCGGUUUUUUUUAAAUAGCUUAUUGAAUUAUAACAUUUUAUCAAUAAUUUCGCUGAACUUCUGUUUGCAGAUGAUGGUCGGGACGAUUAUAGUUUGUCCGAGAAAUACGCAUUUAACGAUAUUAUUAUAAGAAAAAUAAUAAAAAUGAUUUCCUACCAGUCGAGACACGAGAUCCAAUUUACUGUCAACAGCAAUACAUAUAAUAUAGAGUUUCUACAUUUAUACGAUGAUCGAGUACCUGUAGGAUAAUGAUGUUCGGACAACCGUUUACUAUUUGUUGAUCAUCUCGACGUAAACUAUAUAUACAGUUGAUCGAGUAUAAUAUAUCAUUAUGAUUACUCAUAUUAUUUUCUAUUUAUUUGAUUAAUUUUAAUGUAAAAAAAAAAAAAAAAAAACCAUUUCAUAUAGACUGAUAGAUAACUACAUAGCAGACGGUUAACUAAGUAACCCUUAGUGUCAAAUUCGGGCGUAACUAGAAGCUCUCUUAAUUGUAUGGGUAUUACGAUAAUUAAUAAUCUAGAUAAUGACGUACAGUGUCUAAUAAAAAAAUACAUG